Molecule: long non-coding RNA, 574 nt
Organism: Passer domesticus (house sparrow)
Lineage: Eukaryota; Metazoa; Chordata; Aves; Passeriformes; Passeridae
Exons: 3
Source: RefSeq, a predicted model, not a curated record
AGGGAUUGGGGCACGCUGGUGCACACCUCAGCUGUCUGCAGGGCGCACGGACGCUGCUGCCAAGUGAAGUUCGUGCUCCGUCAAGCGCUGCCGGUGAAUUCGCACACUUUCUGCUUGCUGCAGCUCCCGGGAAAGUCAACCCCCUCCGUUCCAGACGUGAGAGGAGUUUUCCCCUGGUUCAAGGACUACCUCCGAGAUUUUCGUUUCAAGAAUCUUGGGUUUCAGUCCCGACACAGUUUGGCACUGGUGGGCCAAAGAGUCAGAACAACUCACACCAGAAUCCAGCCAGGCAAUCACCUGUGGUAAACAAUCUCCAAACACAUUCCACACGUGAGCACAGCACAGGAGAAGCCAAUGAGCAAUUAAAAUAAUUACACUCUGUCAAGCUACAUCUUUUCACCCUGAUUAAAGACAGAGCUGUAUGGAGCAAACACAUCAACUUGUCUGCUGACAGGUGAAAGAAGAAUGCAGAGCAUGUCUGAAACCAUACUGAUAACUUCCCAUUGAGUAGUACACAGGCUAAGAAUUCAUCCUGUAUGCUUCUUCUAGAAAAUAAACACUUUAUUAAGAAAAU